Vicia villosa (hairy vetch) is the source of this 1021-nucleotide long non-coding RNA. RefSeq lists it as uncharacterized. The record is from RefSeq and is a predicted model, not a curated record. Lineage: Eukaryota; Viridiplantae; Streptophyta; Magnoliopsida; Fabales; Fabaceae. The transcript is spliced from 3 exons.
UUUUCUCUCUUCUUUCCAUUCCACGCUCUUUCCUUCUCUCUCUGCAAAAACCGAAAACAGAAGCGCUCCUCCCCCUCUCUCCAAACCUAGCCGCCACCCAUCUCCGACCACCACAACCCCAAACACAAAAGCUAAUACCACUACUGUAUCCUCUCCUUUUCCUCUUCUAUAUAGUGUAAUUUAAUUUAAGAUCGGAAGAAUUUGAAAUUUUACAUCUCCACCUUCUCUCUUAUUUUCCGGCCACCAUGGACUCUCCAUAAGAAAAAUAAACUGAUAAAUCUCUUCCUCUCAAUAAUAUCUAUGAAACUCACAAAUAAAAUUCAUGAUCAGACCACAUCGGACAACCGCGCCGGAAACAUCACUACCGUGCCGGAAAGUGUAAUGACAAUUGUUGGACUGAUAUUGGACUGUUUCUAUUUUACCCUAAAUAACCUAUCCCUUUCUGUUUGCCUUGAUCACCAUCUCCGGCCAGUAACUGCGUCGCCGCGACCGCGGUUAAGGGUUGAAAGUGUGAACUAGAUAGAAACCUCGUCGAGAGAGACAAAUCGUUCUCAUGUAGCGUAAGUGGAAUGUGUUUGAAGCUUGCUAAGGCUGUUAGCAAUUGGGGAUAGUUAAGGUAUCCAGGUGUGGUGAAGACUUGCAAGAUGUGAAUGACUUUGGCGAUAGAAAACAUCAAGACUCAAUGUCAUAGUGAGUCAUUUGUACUAAGUCAUCCUUGGCUUGGAAUUCAAGAUCAGCUUAGGGUUAUGUUUCAGAGUGUUGUCCAGGUCUGUUAUUGGGAAGUUUGUUGUUGAAGCUCAAUGCUUAAAUGUGUUAGUGGUAUUGACCUUCACUUGUUGUCAAAUAAUUUGUAAGAAAAUAUAUUCAAGUGGUCUAAUAUUUUAUAACCUUGGGCAUUUCUUUGGUCCUAGUUAUGGAAAAUAUUUAGACAGGUUGUCAUUAUGUUCUUUUAGACAGUAUGUUUAAUUGUGUUCUUAAACCUUUAAUUGAGAAAACAAUUUAUAAAAGAGGUCUUGUAUUA